This 468-nucleotide ribosomal RNA is filed under the name uncultured bacterium. RNAcentral describes it as "partial 16S ribosomal RNA". It matches the Rfam family "Bacterial small subunit ribosomal RNA", at positions 28 to 507 of the family's 1533-position model. The record is from RNAcentral.
GACGAACGCUGGCGGCGUGCUUAACACAUGCAAGUCGAACGGAAAGACCCUGCUUUUGUGGGGUGCUCGAGUGGCGCACGGGUGAGUGACACGUGAGUAACCUGCCCUUGACUUUGGGAUAACUUCAGGAAACUGGGGCUAAUACCGGGUAGGAGCUCCUGCUGCAUGGGGGUGGUUGGAAAAUUUCGGCGGUGGGGGAUGGACUCGCGGCUUAUCAGCUUGUUGGGGUGGUAGUGGCUUACCAAGCCUUUGACGGGUAGCCGGCAUAGGAGGGGUAACGGCCACCAGGGGCCUGCGAUACGGCGCAGACUCCAACGGGAGGCAGUAGGCGGGAAUAUUGCAGAACGGGCGGACGCCUGAUGCAGCAACGCCGCGUGCGGGAUGACGGCUUUCGGGUUGUAAACCGCUUUGGCCUGUGACGAAGCGGGAGUGACGGUAAUGGGUAAAGAAGCACCGGCUAACUACGUG